GCAUAUCAAUAAGCGGAGGAAAAAGAAACCAACAGGGGAUUGCCCUAGUAACGGCGAGUGAAGCGGCAACAGCUCAAAUUUGAAAUCUGGCCCUCGGGUCCGAGUUGUAAUUUGUAGAGGAUGUUUCUGGCGACGUGUCUUCCGAGUUCCCUGGAACGGGACGCCAUAGAGGGUGAGAGCCCCGUCCGGUCGUACGCCUAGCCUCUGUGAAACUCCUUCGACGAGUCGAGUAGUUUGGGAAUGCUGCUCAAAAUGGGAGGUAUACGUCUUCUAAAGCUAAAUACCGGCCAGAGACCGAUAGCGCACAAGUAGAGUGAUCGAAAGAUGAAAAGCACUUUGAAAAGAGGGUUAAAUAGUACGUGAAAUUGCUGAAAGGGAAGCGCUCAUGACCAGACUUGGGCUCGGUGAAUCAUCCGGCGUUCUCGCCGGUGCACUUUGCCGGCCCAGGCCAGCAUCAGCUCGCCUCGGGGGAUAAAGGUUUCGGGAAUGUAGCUCCCUCGUGGAGUGUUAUAGACCGUUGCGUAAUACCCUGUGGCGGGCUGAGGUACGCGUUCUGCAAGGAUGCUGGCGUAAUGGUCAUCAGUGACCCGUCUUGAAACACGGACCAAGGAGUCGUCUUCGUAUGCGAGUGUUCGGGUGUCAAACCCCUACGCGUAAUGAAAGUGAACGUAGGAGAGAGCUUCGGCGCAUCUCCGACCGAUCCUGAUGUUCUCGGAUGGAUUUGAGUAAGAGCAUACGGGGCCGGACCCGAAAGAAGGUGAACUAUGCCCUGUAUAGGGUGAAGCCAGAGGAAACUCUGGUGGAGGCUCGCAGCGGUUCUGACGUGCAAAUCGAUCGUCAAAUAUGGGCAUGGGGGGCGAAAGACUAAUCGAACCUUCUAGUAGCUGGUUUCCGCCGAAGU
Molecule: ribosomal RNA, 901 nt
Filed under: Acremonium alternatum
Lineage: Eukaryota; Fungi; Ascomycota; Sordariomycetes; Hypocreales; Bionectriaceae
Description: LSU rRNA
Rfam family: Eukaryotic large subunit ribosomal RNA
Source: RNAcentral